This 222-nucleotide ribosomal RNA is filed under the name Triticum aestivum (bread wheat). Its description in RNAcentral is "partial small subunit ribosomal RNA". The record is from RNAcentral. Lineage: Eukaryota; Viridiplantae; Streptophyta; Magnoliopsida; Poales; Poaceae.
AUGAUAGGCCUGAGCUGGAACUGCCGAGGAAUCGGGGGCGCCUCGACAGUUCGUGACCUCAUCGCCCUCGUCCAGAGUCAUCGUCCGCAGUUUGUUUUCUUAUGUGAAACAAGACAAAGCUCACAAAAAGUUCGUCGCCUUCGCCGUCGCCUAGGCCUACGUGGUUUUUGCGGCGUGAGCAGUGAUGGUCAAAGUGGUGGUUUAGCGCUGUUUUGGAAUGAU